GGCCCCGUGGCGGAACCGGUAGACGCAACGGACUUAAAAUCCGUAGCUCGAAAGGGCGUGUCCGUUCGAGUCGGACCGGGGCCACCA
RNAcentral lists this transfer RNA (87 nucleotides) under Bradyrhizobium sp. Its description in RNAcentral is "tRNA-Leu". It matches the Rfam family "tRNA". Rfam says of the family: Transfer RNA (tRNA) molecules are approximately 80 nucleotides in length. Their secondary structure includes four short double-helical elements and three loops (D, anti-codon, and T loops). Lineage: Bacteria; Pseudomonadati; Pseudomonadota; Alphaproteobacteria; Hyphomicrobiales; Nitrobacteraceae. The record is from RNAcentral. RNAcentral also lists the same sequence under 3 other names.